GACGUAGGGCGCGAGCGUUGUCCGGAUUUAUUGGGCGUAAAGAGCUCGUAGGCGGCUUGUUGCGUCGGCUGUGAAAACCCGCAGCUCAACUGUGGGCUUGCAGCUGAUACGGGCAGGCUUGAGUUCGGUAGGGGAGACUGGAAUUCCUGGUGUAGCGGUGAAAUGCGCAGAUAUCAGGAGGAACACCGGUGGCGAAGGCGGGUCUCUGGGCCGAUACUGACGCUGAGGAGCGAAGGCGUGGGGAGCGAACAGG
Molecule: ribosomal RNA, 253 nt
Filed under: uncultured bacterium
Lineage: Bacteria
Description: partial 16S ribosomal RNA
Rfam family: Bacterial small subunit ribosomal RNA
Source: RNAcentral